Non-coding RNA from Marchantia paleacea, 72 nucleotides. The record is from the annotation of a GenBank genome assembly. NCBI's taxonomy places the organism in Eukaryota, Viridiplantae, Streptophyta, Marchantiopsida, Marchantiales, Marchantiaceae.
GUUUAGAUAGCUCAGGUGGUUAGAGCAAAGGACUGAAAAUCCUUUUGGCAAUGGUUCGACCAAUGCCAAUGG